GUUGAGUUCCUGUCCUGACUUCCCUCAGUGAUGAGCAGCAUUGCUGAAGUAUCUUGUAGUUCGGUGAGCUGGGAUGAAGAAUCAGCUGUGAUUACCAAGAUACCAGAACUACUAAAGCGAAACUUUGCUGUGCUGGGAUGCUUGAUGCUGGUCGGCUGGAGCUAAGAAGUUAAGGAGAGACCAGCAUCCCUGUGAUGAAAUCUUCUGGGAAGCGUCUUCUCCACAGAGAAGCUAUGCUCCAGAGGUGGUCCCGGUUGUGCUUUGUGCUGGCAGCAGGACUUGGUAAUGUGUAGGAGUCACCAGGUGGUACUAGUUUUGAAGACAACCAGGAAGUAUGAGCCAAAUAAAUCCUUUCCUCCCCAACC
Long non-coding RNA from Mesocricetus auratus (golden hamster), 365 nucleotides. RefSeq lists it as uncharacterized. Lineage: Eukaryota; Metazoa; Chordata; Mammalia; Rodentia; Cricetidae. The record is from RefSeq and is a predicted model, not a curated record. The transcript is spliced from 2 exons.